RNAcentral lists this long non-coding RNA (23330 nucleotides) under Triticum aestivum (bread wheat). Its description in RNAcentral is "long non-coding RNA (TAES_LNC019907)". Lineage: Eukaryota; Viridiplantae; Streptophyta; Magnoliopsida; Poales; Poaceae. The record is from RNAcentral.
GAGCGAAUUCACUCAGAACUAACAAGAAUGAUAACAUGCUCCGACUGGAGCGGUUUAGGAACUGCUGGAAGGCUCUAGGGGAAUAAAGAUGGAAUGACUUCUAAUUUUUAGGUCCGUAUGAUUUGAAAUACUUGCACACAAACCACGCGAAAGCGUUCCUGGAAAUCUCAGCCCAAAAAAGGACGUUUAGUAAUUCUAAAAGGGACUACAGGAUGAAAAACAAUAGUUUUGGCAGUUAAAGUUUGAGAUUCGACAGUGCCGUAGAUCCGUUUGGUCAUCAGGUAUUACGAGCCACACCCAUGUCUAGCUAGAAUAGUGUGCUAGGCUCAGGCUAGAGAAGAAACGGGGAACAAACUGAUGAAAGAAUGAUCAAACCGAGGGAAUUCACUCAGAACUAACAAUAAUGAUAACGUGCUCCGACUGGUGCGGUUUAGGAACUGCUGGAAGGCUCUAGGGGAAUAAAGAUGGAAUGACUUCUAAUUUUUAGGUCCGUAUGAUUUGAAAUACUUGCACACAAACCGCGCGAAAGCGUUCCUGGAAAUCUCAGCCCAAAAAAGGACGUUUAGUAAUUUUAAAAGGGACUAUAGGAUGAAAAACAAUAGUUUUGGCAAUUAAAGUUUGAGAUUCGACGGUGUCGUAGAUCCGUUUGGUCAUCAGGUGUUACGAGCCACACCCAUGUCUAGCUAGAAUAGUAUGUCAGGCUCAGGUUAGAGUAGAAACGGGGAACAAACUGAUGAAAGAAUGAUCAUACCAAGGGAAUUCACUCAGAACUAUCAAGAAUGAUAACGUGCUCCGACUGGAGUGAUUUAGGAACUGCUGGAAGGCUCUAGGGGAAUAAAGAUGGAAUGACUUCUAAUUUUUACGUCCGUAUGAUUUGAAAUACUUGCACACAAAUCACGCAAAAGCGUUCCUGGAAAUCUCAGCCUAAAAAAGGACGUUUAGUAAUUCUAAAAGGGACUACAGGAUGAAAAACAAUAGUUUGGGCAGUUAAAAUUUGAGAUUCGACGGUGCCGUAGAUCCGUUUGGUCAUCAGGUGUUACGAGCGACACCCUUGUCUAGCUAGAAUAGUGUGUUAGGCUCAGACUAGAGAAGAAACGGGGAACAAAGUGAUGAAAGAAUGAUCAUACCGAGGGAAUUCACUCAGAACUAACAAGAAUGAUAACGUGCUCCGACUGGAGCGGUUUAGUAACUGCUGGAAGGCUCUAGGGGAAUGAAGAUGGAAUGACUUCUAAUUUUUAGGUCCGUAUGAUUUGAAAUACAUGCACACAAACCCUGAGAAAGCGUUCCUGGAAAUCUCGGUCGAAAAAAGGAUGUUUAAUAAUUCUAAAAGGGACUACCGGAUGAAAAACAAUAGUUUUGGCAGUUAAAGUUUGUGAUUCGAUGGUGCCGUAGAUCUGUUUGGUCAUCAGGUGUUACGAGCCACACCCAUGUCUAUCUAGAAUAGUGUGUUAGGCUCAGGCUAGAGCAGAAACGGGGAACAGACUUAUGAAAGAAUGAUCAUACCGAGGGAAUUCACUCAGAACUAACAAGAAUGAUAACGUGCUCCGACUGGCGCGGUUUAGGAACUGCUGGAAGGCUCUAGGGGAAUAAAGAUGGAAAGACUUCUAAUUUUUAGGUCCGUAUGAUUUGAAAUACUUGCACACAAACCGCACGAAAGCGUUCCUGGAAAUCUCAGCCUAAAAAGGAUGUUUAGUAAUUCUAAAAGGGACUACAAGAUGAAAAAUAAUAGUUUGGGCAGUUAAAAUUUGAGAUUCGACGAUGCCGUAGAUCCGUUUGGUCAUCAGGUGUUAUGAGCCACACCCAUGUCUAGCUAGAAUAGUGUGUUAGGCUCAGGCUAGAGAAGAAACGGGGAACAAACUGAUGAAAGAAUGAUCAUACCGAGGGAAUUCACUCAGAACUAACAAGAAUGAUAACGUGCUCCGACUGGAGCAGUUUAGAAACUGCUGGAAGGCUCUAAUGGAAUAAAGAUGGAAUGCCUUCAAAUUUCUAGGUCCGUAUGAUUUGAAAUACUUGCACACAAACCGCUCGAAAGCGUUCCUGGAAAUCUCAGCCCAAAAAAGGACGUUUAGUAAUUCUAAAAGGGACUACAGGAUGAAAAACAAUAGUUUUGGCAGUUAAAGUUUGAGAUUCGAUGGUGCCGUAGAUCCGUUUGGUCAUCAGGUGUAACGAGCCACACACAUGUCUAGCUAGAGUAGUGUGCUAGGCUCAGACUAGAGAAGAAACGGGGAACAAAGUGAUGAAAGAAUGAUCAUACCGAGGGAAUUCACUCAGAACUUACAAGAAUGAUAACGUGCUCCGACUGGAGCGCUUUAGUAACUGCUGGAAGGCUCUAGGCGAAUAAAGAUGGAAUGACUUCUAAUUUUUAGGUCCGUAUGAUUUGAAAUACUUGCACACAAACCACGCAAAACCGUUCCUAGAAAUCUCGGUCGAAAAAAGGACGUUUAGUAAUUCUAAAAGGGACUACAGGAUGAAAAACAAUAGUUUUGGCAGUUAAAGUUUGAGAUUCGAUGGUGCCGUAGAUCCGUUUGGUCAUCAGGUGUUACGAGCCACACCCAUGUCUAGCUAGAGUAGUGUGCUAGGUUCAGACUAGAGAAGAAACGGGGAACAAAGUGAUUAAAGAAUGAUCAUACCGAGGGAAUUCACUCAGAACUAACAAGAAUGAUAACGUGCUCCGACUGGAGCGGUUUAGGAACUGCUGGAAGGCUCUAGGGGAAUAAAGAUGGAAUGACUUCUAAUUUUUACGUCCGUAUGAUUUGAAAUACAUGCACACAAACCACGCAAAAGCGUUCCUGGAAAUCUCAGCCUAAAAAAGGACGUUUAGUAAUUCUAAAAGGGACUACAGGAUGAAAAAUAAUAGUUUGGGCAGUUAAAAUUUGAGAUUCGACGCUGCCGUAGAUCCGUUUGGUCAUCAGGUCUUACGAGCCACACCCAUGUCUAGCUAGAAUAGUGUGUUAGGCUCAGGCUAGAGAAGAAACGGGGAACAAACUGAUGAAAGAAUGAUCAUACCGAGGGAAUUCACUCAGAACUAACAAGAAUGAUAACGUGCUCCGACUGGAGCAGUUUAGAAACUCCUGGAAGGCUCUAGGGGAAUAAAGAUGGAAUGACUUCAAAGUUUUAGGUCCGUAUGAUUUGAAAUACUUGCACACAAACCGCGUGAAAGCGUUCCUGGAAAUCUCAACCCAAAAAAGGGCGUUUAGUAAUUCUAAAAGGGACUACAGGAUGUAAAACAAUAGUUUUGGCAGUUAAAGUUUGAGAUUCGAUGGUGCCGUAGAUCCGUUUGGUCAUCAGGUGUAACGAGCCACACCCAUGUCUAGCUAGAGUAGUGUGCUAGGCUCAGACUAGAGAAGAAACGGGGAACAAAGUGAUGAAAGAAUGAUCAUACCGAGGGAAUUCACUCAUAACUAACAAGAAUGAUAACGUGCUCUGACUUGAGCGGUUUAGGAACUGCUGGAAGGCUAUAGGGGAAUAAAGAUGGAAUGACUUCAAAUUUUUAGGUCCGUAUGAUCUGAAAUACUUGCACACAAACCGCGAGAAAGCGUUCCUGGAAAUCUCAACCCAAAAAAGGACGUUUAGUAAUUCUAAAAGGGACUACAGGAUGAAAAACAAUAGUUCUGGCAGUUAUUGUUUGAGAUUCGAUAAUCUCGUAGAUCCGUUUGGUCAUCAGGUGUAACGAGCCACACCCAUGUCUAGCUAGAGUAGUGUGCUAGGCUCAGACUAGAGAAGAAACGGGGAACAAACUGAUGAAAGAAUGAUCAUACCGAGGGAAUUCACUUAGAACUAACAAGAAUGAUAACGUGCUCCGACUGGAGCGGUUUAGGAACUGCUGGAAGGCUCUAGGGGAAUAAAGAAGGAACGACUUCUAAUUUUUAGGUCCGUAUGAUUUGAAAUAUGUGCACACAAACCACGAGAAAGCGUUCCUAGAAAUCUCGGCCCAAAAGAGGACGUUUAGUAUUCUAAAAGGGACUACAGAAUGAAAAACAAUAGUUUUGGCAGUUAAAGUUUGAGAUUUGACGGUGCCGUAGAUCUGUUUGGUCAUCAGGGGUUACGAGCCACACCCAUGUCUAGCUAGAAUAGUGUGUUAGGCUCAGGCUAGAAAAGAAACGGGGAACAAAGUGAUGAAAGAAUGAUCAUACCGAGGGAAUUCACUCAGAACUAACAAGAAUGAUAACAUGCUCCGACUGGAGCGGUUUAGGAACUGCUGGAAGGCUCUAGGGGAAUAAAGAUGGAAUGACUUCUAAUUUUUAGGUCCGUAUGAUUUGAAAUACUUGCACACAAACCGCGCGAAAGCGUUCCUGGAAAUCUCAGCCCAAAAAAGGACGUUUAGUAAUUCUAAAAGGGACUACAGGAUGAAAAACAAUAGUUUUGGCAGUUAAAGUAUGAGAUUCAACGGUGCCGUAGAUCCGUUUGGUCAUUAGGUGUUACGAGCCACACCCAUGUCUAGCUAGAAUAGUGUGCUAGGCUCAGGCUAGAGAAGAAACGGGGAACAAACUGAUGAAAGAAUGAUCAAACCGAGGGAAUUCACUCAGAACUAACAAUAAUGAUAACGUGCUCCGACUGGAGCGGUUUAGGAACUGCUGGAAGUCUCUAGGGGAAUAAAGAUGGAAUGACUUCUAAUUUUUACGUUCGUAUGAUUUGAAAAACUUGCCCAUAAACCGCGCGAAAGUGUUCCUGGAAAUCUCAGCCCAAAAAAGGACGUUUAGUAAUUUUAAAAGGGACUACACGAUGAAAAACAAUAGUUUUGGCAGGUAAAGUUUGAGAUUCGACAGUGCCGUAGAUCCGUUUGGUCAUCAGGUGUUACGAGCCACACCCAUGUCUAGCUAGAAUAGUAUGUUACGCUCAGGUUAGAGAAGAAACGGGGAACAAACUGAUGAAAGAUGAUCAUACCAAGGGAAUUCACUCAGAACUAACAAGAAUGAUAACGUGCUCCGACUGGAGCGGUUUAGGAACUGCUGGAAGGCUCUAGGGGAAUAAAGAUGGAAUGACUUCUAAUUUUUACGUCUGUAUGAUUUGAAAUACUUGCACACAAACAACGCAAAAGCAUUCCUGGAAAUCUCAUCCUAAAAAAGGACGUUUAGUAAUUCUAAAAGGGACUACAGGAUGAAAAAUAAUAGUUUGGGAAGUUAAAAUUUGAGAUUCGAUAGUGCCGUAGAUCCGUUUGGUCAUCAGGUGUUAGGAGCCACACCCAUGUCUAGCUAGAAUAGUGUGUUAGGCUCAGGCUAGAGAAGAAACAGGGAACAAACUGAUGAAAGAAUGAUCAUACCGAGGGAAUUCACUCAGAACUAGCAAGAAUGAUAACGUGCUCCGACUGGAGCAGUUUUGAAACUGCUGGAAGGCUCUAGGGGAAUAAUGAUGGAAUGACUUCUAAGUUUUUGGUCCGUAUGAUUUGAAAUACGUGCACACAAACCCAGAGAAAGUGUUCUUGGAAAUCUCGGCCGAAAAAAGGAUGUUUAAUAAUUCUAAAAGGGACUACAGGAUGAAAAACAAUAGUUUUGGCAGUUAAAGUUUGUGAUUCGAUGGUGCUGUAGAUCUGUUUGGUCAUCAGGUGUUAUGAGCCACACCCAUGUCUAGCUAGAACAGUGUGUUAGGCUCAGGCUAGAGCAGAAACGGGGAACAAACUUAUGAAAGAAUGAUCAUACCGAGGGAAUUCACUCAGAACUAACAAGAAUGAUAACGUGCUCCGACUGGAGAGGUUUAGGAACUGCUGGAAGGCUCUAGGGGAAUAAAGAUGGAAUGACUUCAAAUUUUUAGGUCUGUAUGAUCUGAAAUACUUGCACACAAACCGCGAGAAAGCGUUCCUGGAAAUCUCAGCCCAAAAAAGGACGUUUAGUGAUUCUAAAAGGGACUACGGGAUAAAAAACAAUAGUUUUGGCAGUUAAAGUUUGAGAUUCGAUAAUGCCGUAGAUCCGUUUGGUCAUCAGGUGUAACGAGCCACACCCAUGUCUAGCUAGAGUAGUGUGCUAGGCUCAUACUAGAGAAGAAAUGGGGAACAAACUGAUGAAAGAAUGAUCAUACCGAGGGAGUUCACUCAAAACUAACAUGAAUGAUAACGUGCUCCGACUGGAGCGGUUUAGGAACUGCUGGAAGGCUCUAGGGGAAUAAAGAUGGAAUGACUUCUAAUUUUUAGGUCCGUAUGAUUUGAAAUACAUGCACACAAACCCCAAGAAAGCGUUCCUGGAAAUCUCGCCCCGAAAAACGACGUUUAGUAAUUCUAAAAGGGACUAUAGGAUGAAAAACAAUAGUUUUGGCAGUUAAAGUUUGAGAUUUGACGGUGCCGUAGAUCUGUUUGGUCAUCAGGUGUUACGAGCCACACCCAUUUCUAGCUAGAAUAGUGUGUUAGGCUCAGGCUAGAAAAGAAACGGGGAACAAAGUGAUGAAAGAAUGAUCAUACCGAGGGAAUUCACUCAGAACUAACAAGAAUGAUAACAUGGUCCGACUGGAGCGGUUUAGGAACUGCUGGAAGGCUCUAGGGGAAUAAAGAUGGAAUGACUUCUAACUUUUAGGUCCGUAUGAUUUGAAUUACUUGCACACAAACCGCGCGAAAGCGUUCCUGGAAAUCUCAGCCCAAAAAAGGACGUUUAGUAAUUCUAAAAGGGACUACAGGAUGAAAAACAAUAGUUUUGGCAGUUAAAGUUUGAGAUUCGACGGUGCCGUAGAUCCGUUUGGUCAGCAGGUGUUACGAGCCACACCCAUGUCUAGCUAGAGUAGUGUGCUAGGUUCAGACUAGAGAAGAAAUGUUGGGGAACGUAGCAGAAAUUCAAAAUUUUCCUACGUGUCACCAAGAUCUAUCUAUGGAGAGACUAGCAACGAGGGAAGGAGAGUGCAUCUACAUACCCUUGUAGAUCGCUAAGCGGAAGCGUUCAAGUGAACGGGGUUGAUGGAGUCGUACUCGUCGUGAUUCAGCUCACCGAUGAUCCUAGUGCCGAACGGACGGCACCUCCGCGUUCAACACACGUACAGCUCGACGAUGUCUCCCACGCCUUGAUCCAGCAAGGAGAGAGGGAGAGGUUGAGGAAGACUCCAUCCAGCAGAAGCACAACGGCGUGGUGGUGAUGGAGGAGCAUGGCAAUCCUGCAGGGCUUCGCCAAGCACCUAUGGGAGAGGAGGAGGUGUCACGGGAGGGAGGGAGGCGCCAAGGGCUCAGGUAUAGAUGCCCUCCCUCCCCUCCACUAUAUAUAGGGGCAAGGGAGAGGGGGGAGGCGCAGCCUUGCCCCUUCCUCCAAGGAAGGGGUGCGGCUAAGAGGGGGGGAGGAGUCCAUCCUCCCCAAGGCACCUCGGAGGUGCCUUCCCCCUUUAGGACUCUCCCCUUUUUCCUAUAUCUUGGCGCAUGGGCCUCUAGGGGCUGGUUCCCUUGGCCCAUGUAGGCCCAGGCGCACCCCCUACAGCCCAUGUGGCCCCCCGGGGCAGGUGGCCCCACCUGGUGGGCCCCCGGGACCCUUCCGGUGGUCCCGGUACAAUACCGAUGACCCCGAAACUUGUCCCGAUGGCCGAAACAGGACUUCCUAUAUAUAAAUCUUUACCUCCGGACAAUUCCGGAACUCCUCGUGACGUCCGGGAUCUCAUCCGGGACUCCGAACAACAUUCGGUAACCACAUACAAACUUCCUUUAUAACCCUAGCGUCAUCGAACCUUAAGUGUGUAGACCCUACGGGUUCGGGAGACAUGUAGUCAUGACCGAGAUGUUCUCCGGUCAAUAACCAACAGCGGGAUCUGGAUACCCAUGUUGGCUCCCACAUGUUCCACGAUGAUCUCAUCGGAUGAACCACGAUGUCAAGGACUCAAUCAAUCCCGUAUACAAUUCCCUUUGUCUAGCGGUAUGGUACUUGCCCGAGAUUCGAUCGUCGGUAUACCGAUACCUUGUUCAAUCUCGUUACCGGCAAGUCUCUUUACUCAUUUCGUAACACAUCAUCCCGUGAUCAACCCCUUGGUCACAUUGUGCACAUUAUGAUGAUGUCCUACCGAGUGGGCCCAGAGAUACCUCUCCGUUUACACGGAGUGACAAAAUCCCAAUCUCGAUUCGUGCCAACCCAACAGACACUUUCAGAGAUACCCGUAGUGUACCUUUACAGCCACCCAGUUACGUUGUGACGUUUGGCACACCCAAAGCACUCCUACAGUAUCCGGGAGUUGCACAAUCUCAUGGUCUAAGGAAAUGAUACUUGACAUUAGAAAAGCUUUAGCAUACGAACUACAUGAUCUUGUGCUAGGCUUAGGAUUGGGUCUUGUCCAUCACAUCAUUCUCCUAAUGAUGUGAUCCCGUUAUCAACGACAUCCAAUGUCCAUGGUCAGGAAACCGUAACCAUCUAUUGAUUAACGAGCUAGUCAACUAGAGGCUUACUAGGGACAUGGUGUUGUCUAUGUAUCCACACAUGUAUCUAAGUUUCCUAUCAAUACAAUUCUAGCAUGGAUAAUAAACGAUUAUCAUGAACAAGGAAAUAUAAUAAUAAUCAAUUUAUUAUUGCCUCUAGGGCAUAUUUCCAACAGUCUCCCACUUGCACUAGAGUCAAUAAUCUAGUUCACAUCGAUAUGUGAUUAACACUCAAGGUCACAUUCCCAUGUGACUAACACCCAAGAGUUUACUAGAGUCAAUAAUCUAGUUCACAUUUACCAUGUGAUUAACACUUGAUGAGUUCUGGGUUUGAUCAUGUUAUGCUUGUGAGAGAGGUUAUAGUCAACGGGUCUGAACCUUUCAGAUCCGUGUGUGCUUUACAAAUCUCUAUGUCAUCUCCUAGAUGCAGCUACCACGUUCUAUUUGGAGCUAUUCCAAAUAACUGUUCUACUUGGAGCUAUUCUAAAUUGUUGCUCCAUUAUACGUAUCCGGUAUCUCUACUCAGAGCUAUCCGGAUAGGUGUUAAGCUUGCAUCGACGUAACCCUUUACGACGAACUCUUUUACCACCUCCAUAAUUGAGAAAAUUCCUUAGUCCACUAGUUACUAAGGAUAACUUUGACCGCUGUCCUGUGAUCCAUUCUUGGAUCACUCUUGUACCCCUUGACUGACUCAUGGUAAAGCACACUUCAGGUGCGGUACACAGCAUAGCAUACUGUAGAGCCUAUGUCUUAAGCAUAGGGGACGACCUUCGUUCCUUUCUCUCUAUUCUGCCAUGGUCGAGCUUUAAGUCUUAACUUCAUACCUUACAACUCAGGCAAGAACUCCUUCUUUGACUGAUCCAUCUUGAACACCUUCAAGAUCACGUCAAGGCAUGUGCUCACGUCAAGAUCACGUCGGUAUACCGAUACCUUGUUCAAUCUCGUUACCGGCAAGUCUCUUUACUCGUUCCGUAACACAUCAUCCCGUGAUCAACCCCUUGGUCACAUUGUGCACAUUAUGAUGAUGUCCUACCGAGUGGGCCCAGAGAUACCUCUCCGUUUACACGGAGUGACAAAAUCCCAAUCUCGAUUCGUGCCAACCCAACAGACACUUUCAGAGAUACCCGUAGUGUACCUUUAUAGCCACCCAGUUACGUUGUGACGUUUGGCACACCCAAAGCACUCCUACGGUAUCCGGGAGUUGCACAAUCUCAUGGUCUAAGGAAAUGAUACUUGACAUUAGAAAAGCUUUAGCAUACGAACUACAUGAUCUUGUGCUAGGCUUAGGAUUGGGUCUUGUCCAUCACAUCAUUCUCCUAAUGAUGUGAUCCCGUUAUCAACGACAUCCAAUGUCCAUGGUCAGGAAACCGUAACCAUCUAUUGAUUAACGAGCCAGUCAACUAGAGGCUUACUAGGGACAUGGUGUUGUCUAUGUAUCCACACAUGUAUCUGAGUUUCCUAUCAAUACAAUUCUAGCAUGGAUAAUAAACGAUUAUCAUGAACAAGGAAAUAUAAUAAUAAUCAAUUUAUUAUUGCCUCUAGGGCAUAUUUCCAACAGUCUCCCACUUGCACUAGAGUCAAUAAUCUAGUUCACAUCACCAUGUGAUUAACACUGACAGGUCACAUCACCAUGUGACCAACAUCCAAAGAGUCUUGGGUUUGAUCAUGUUGCUUGUGAGAGAGGUUAUAGUCAACGGGUCUGAACCUUUCAGAUCCGUGUGUGCUUUACAAAUCUCUAUGUCAUCUCCUAGAUGCAGCUACCACGUUCUAUUUGGAGCUAUUCCAAAUAACUGUUCUACUUGGAGCUAUUCUAAAUUGUUGCUCCAUUAUACGUAUCCGGUAUCUCUACUCAGAGCUAUCCGGAUAGGUGUUAAGCUUGCAUCGACGUAACCCUUUACGACGAACUCUUUUACCACCUCCAUAAUUGAGAAAAUUCCUUAGUCCACUAGUUACUAAGGAUAACUUUGACCGCUGUCCUGCGAUCCAUUCUUGGAUCACCCUUGUACCCCUUGACUGACUCAUGGUAAAGCACACUUCAGGUGCGGUACACAGCAUAGCAUACUGUAGAGCCUAUGUCUUAAGCAUAGGGGAUGACCUUCGUUCCUUUCUCUCUAUUCUGCCAUGGUCGAGCUUUAAGUCUUAACUUCAUACCUUACAACUCAGGCAAGAACUCCUUCUUUGACUGGUCCAUCUUGAACACCUUCAAGAUCAUGUCAAGGUAUGUGCUCAUUUGAAAGUACUAUUAAGCGUUUUGAUCUAUCCUUAUAGAUCUUGAUGCUCAAUGUUCAAGUAGCUUAAUCCAGGUUUUCCAUUGAAAACACUUUCCAAAUAACCCUAUAUGCUUUCCAGAAAUUCUACGUCAUUUCUGAUCAUUAAUAUGUCAACAACAUAUAAUCAUCAGAAAUUCUAUAGUGCUCCCACUCACUUCUUUGGAAAUACAAGUUUCUCAUAAACUUUGUAUACACCCAAAAUCUUUGAUCAUCAUCAAAGCAUACAUUCCAACUCCGAGAUGCUCACUCCAGUCCUCAGAAGGAUUGCUGGAGCUUUGCAUACUUAUUAGCAUAUUUCAGGAUAGACAAAACCUUCCAGUUGUAUCACAUACAACCUUUCCUCAAGAAUCGUCGACGAAACAAUGUUUUGACAUCCUAUCUGCAAGAUUUCAUAAAUAAUGCAGUAAUUGUUAAUAUAAUUCCAACAGACUCUUAGCAUCGCUACGAGUGAGAAAGUCUCAUUGUAGUCAACUCCUUGAACUUGUCAAAAAACAUCUUAACGACAAGUCGAGCUUUCUCAAUGGUGACACUUACCAUCAUUGUCUGUCUUCCUUUCAAAAUCCAUAUGUACCUAACAGCCUUACGACCAUCAAGUAGUUCUUCCAAAGUCUACACUUUGUUUUCAUACAUGGAUCCUCUCUCGGGUUUUAUGGCCAUGAGCCAUUUAUCGGAAUCCGGGCCCACCAUUGCUUCUCCAUAGCUCGUAGGUUCAUUGUUGUCUAGCAACAUGACUUCCAAGACAGGAUUACUGUACCACUCUGAAGUAGUACGUAUCCUUGUCACCCUACGAGGUUUGGGAGUGACUUGAUCUGAAGUUUCAUGAUCACUAUCAUAAGCUUCUACUUCAAUUGGUGUAGGUGCCACAGGAACAACUUCCUGUGCCCUGCUACACACUGGUUGAAGUGAUGGUUCAAUAACCUCAUCAAGUCUCCACCAUCCUCCCACUCAAUUCUUUCGAGAGAAACCUUUCCUCGAGAAAGGACCCAAUUCUAGAAACAAUUCAUAUUGCUUUCGGAUCUGAAUUAGGAAGUAUACCCAACUGUUUUGGGUGUCCUAUGAAGAUGUACUUUAUCCGCUUUGGUUUCGAGCUUAAUCCUGAAACUUUUUCACAUAAGUGUCGCAGCCCCAAACCUUUAAGAAACGACAACUUAGGUUUCUCUAAACCAUAAUUCAUACGGUGUCAUCUCAUCGGAAUUACGUGGUGCCCUAUUUAAAGUGAAUGUGGUUGUCUUUAAUGCCUAACCCAUAAACUAUCGUGGCAGUUCGAUAAGAGACAUCAUGGUAUGCAUCAUAUCCAAUAGGGUGCAACUAUGAUGUUCGGACACACCAUCACACUAUGGUGUUCCAGGCGGUAUUAAUUGUGAAACAAUUUCCACAAUGUCUUAAUUGUGUGCCAAAACUCGUAACUCAGAUACUCAUCUCUAUGAUCAUAUCAUAGACAUUUUAUCCUCUUGUCACAAUGAUCUUCUACUUCACUCUGAAAUUACUUGAACCAUUCAACAAUUCAGACUUGUGUUUCAUCAAGUAAAUAUUCUCAACAUCUACUCGAAUCAUCUGUGAAGUAAGAACAUAACGAUAUUCACUGCAUGCCUCAGCACUCAUUGGACUGCACACAUCAAAAUGUGUUACUUCCAACAAGUUGCUAUCUUGUUCCAUCUUACUGAAAACGAGGCUUUUCAGUCAUCUUGCCCAUGUGGUAUGAUUUGCAUGUCCCAAGUGAUUCAAAAAUCAAGUGAGUCAAAACGGUCCAUUUGCAUGGAGUUUCUUCAUGCAUAUACACCAAUAGACAUGGUUCGCAUGUCUCAAACUUUUCAAAAACGAGUGAGCCCAAAGAUCCAUCAAUAUGGAGCUUCUUCAUGCGUUUUAUACCGAUAUGACUUACGUGGUAGUGCCACAAGUAGGUGGUACUAUCAUUACUAUCUUUUGGCAUGAACAUGUGUAUCACUACGAUCGAGAUUUAAUAAACCAUUCAUUUUAGGUGUAAGACCAUUGAAGGUAUUAUUCAAAUAAACAGAGUAACCAUUAUUCUCCUUAAAUGAAUAACCGUAUUGCGAUAGACGUAAUCCAAUCAUGUCUAUGCUCAACGCAAACACCAAAUAACAAUUAUUUAGGUUUAACACCAAUCUCUUUGGUAGAGGGAGCGUGCGAUGCUUGAUCAUAUCAAGCAUGGAAAAACUUACAACACAUAUCGUCAGCUCACCUUUAGCUAGUCUCUGUUUAUUCCGUAGCCUUUUGUUUCGAGUUACUAACACUUAGCAACCGAACUGGUAUCUAAUACCCUGGUGCUACUAGGAGUACUAGCAAAGUACACAUUAACACAAUGUAUAUCCAAUAUACUUCUAUCGACCUUGCCAGCCUUCUUAUCUACCAAGUAUCUAGGGUAAUUCUGCUCUAGUAGUUGUUCCCCUUAUUACAGAAGCACUUAGUCUCGGGUUUGGGUUUUACCUUGGGUUUCUUCACUAGAGCAGCAGCUGAUUUGCCGUUUCAUGAAGUAUCCCUUCUUGCCCUUGCCCUUCUUGAAACUAGUGGUUCCACCAACCAUCAACAAUUGAUGCUCCUUCUUGAUUUCUACUUUCGCGGUGUCAAACAUCGCGAAUACCUCAAGGAUCAUCAUAUCUAUCCCUGAUAUGUUAUAGUUCAUCAUGAAGCUCUAACAGCUUGGUGGCAAUGACUUUGGAGAACCAUCACUAUCUCAUCUGGAAGAUCAACUCCCACUCGAUUCAAGCGAUUGUUGUACUCAGACAAUCUGAGCACAAGCUCAACGAUUGAGCUUUUCUCCCUUAGUUUGCAGGUUAAGAAAGUCAUCGGAGGUCUUAUACCUCUUGACAUGGGCACGAGCCUGAAAUCCCAAUUUCAGCCCUCAAAACAUCUCAUAUGUUUCGCGAUGUUUCAAAAACGUCUUUGGUGCCUCAACUCUAAACCGUUUAACUGAACUAUCACGUAGUUAUCAAAACGUGUAUGUCAGAUGUUCGCAACAACCACAGACAACGUUCGAGGUUCAGCACACUGAGCGGUGCAUUAAGGACAUAAGCCUUCUAUGAAGCAAUGAGGACAAUCCUCAGUUUACGGACCUAGUCCGCAUAAUUGCUACUAUCAACUUUCAACUAAUUUUUCUCUAGGAACAUAUCUAAACAGUAGAACUAUAGCGUGAGCUACGACAUAAUUUGCAAAAACCUUUUGACUAUGUUCAGGAUAAUUAAGUUCAUCUUAUGAACUCCCACUCAGAUAGACAUCCCUCUAGUCAUCUAAGUGAUUACAUGAUCCGAGUCAAACUAGGCCGUGUCCGAUCAUCACGUGAGACGGACUAGUCAUCAUCGGUGAACAUCUUCAUGUUGAUCGUAUCUUCUAUACGACUCAUGUUCGACCUUUCGGUCUUCGUGUUCCGAGGCCAUGUAUGUACAUGCUAGGCUCGUCAAGUUAACCCUAAGUGUUUCGCGUGUGUAAAUCUGUCUUACACCCGUUGUAUGUGAACGUUAGAAUCUAACACCCGAUCAUCACGUGGUGCUUCGAAACACGAACUGUCGCAACGGUGCACAGUUAGGGGAGAACACUUCUUGAAAUUGUUGUAAGGGAUCAUCUUAUUUACUACCGUCGUUCUAAGCAAAUAAGAUGUAUAAACAUGAUAAACAUCACAUGCAAUCAAAUAGUGACAUGAUAUGGCCAUCAUCACUUUGCUCCUUUUGAUCUCCAUCUUCGGGGCUCCAUGAUCAUCAUCGUCACCGGCAUGACACCAUGAUCUCCAUCAUCAUGAUCUCCAUCAUCGUGUCUUCAUGAAGUUGCCUCGCCAACUAUUACUUCUACUACUAUGGCUAACGGUUAGCAAUAAAGUAAAGUAAUUACAUGACGUUUAAGUUGACACGCAGGUCACAAAUGAAUAAAGACAACUCCUAUGGCUCCUGCCGGUUGUCAUACUCAUCGACAUGCAAGUCGUGAUUCCUAUUACAAGAACAUGAUCAAUCUCAUACAUCACAUAUAUCAUUCAUCACAUCCUUUUUGGCCAUAUCACAUCACAUAGCAUACCCUGCAAAAACAAGUUAGACGUCCUCUAAUUGUUGUUUGCAUGUUUUACGUGGCUGCUAUGGGUUUCUAGCAAGAACGUUUCUUACCUACGCAUGAACAACAACGUGAUAUGCCAAUUGCUAUUUACCCUUCAUAAGGACCCUUUUCAUCGAAUCCGAUCCGACUAAAGUGGGAGAGACAGACACCCGCCAGCCACCUUAUGCAACUAGUGCAUGUUUGUCGGUGGAACCGGUCUCACGUAAGCGUACGUGUAAGGUUGGUCCGGGCCGCUUCAUCCCACGAUGCCGCCGAAUCAAGAUAAGACUAGUAACGGCAAGCAUAUUGAACAAUAUCAACGCCCACAACUACUUUGUGUUCUACUCGUGCAAAGAAUCUACGCAAUAGACCUAGCUCAUGAUGCCACUGUUGGGGAACGUAGCAGAAAUUCAAAAUUUUCCUACGUGUCACCAAGAUCUAUCUAUGGAGAUACUAGCAACGAGGGAAGGAGAGUGCAUCUACAUACCCUUGUAGAUCGCUAAGCGGAAGCGUUCAAGUGAACGGGGUUGAUGGAGUCGUACUCGUCGUGAUUCAGAUCACCGAUGAUCCUAGUGCCGAACGGACGGCACCUCCGCGUUCAACACACGUACAGCUCGACGAUGUCUCCCACGCCUUGAUCCAGCAAGGAGAGAGGGAGAGGUUGAGGAAGACUCCAUCCAGCAGCAGCACAACGGCGUGGUGGUGAUGGAGGAGCGUGGCAAUCCUGCAGGGCUUCGCCAAGCACCUACGGGAGAGGAGGAGGUGUCACGGGAGGGAGGGAGGCGCCAAGGGCUCAGGUAUAGAUGCCCUCCCUCCCCUCCACUAUAUAUAGGGGCAAGGGAGAGGGGGAGGCGCAUCCUUGCCCCUUCCUCCAAGGAAGGGGUGCGGCUAAGAGGGGGGGAGGAGUCCAUCCUCCCCAAGGCACCUCGGAGGUGCCUUCCCCCUUUAGGACUCUCCCCUUUUUCCUAUAUCUUGGCGCAUGGGCCUCUAGGGGCUGGUGCCCUUGGCCCAUGUAGGCCAAGGCGCACCCCCCUACAGCCCAUGUGGCCCCCCGGGGCAGGUGGCCCCACCCGGUGGGCCCCCGGGACCCUUCCGGUGGUCCCGGUACAAUACCGAUGACCCCGAAACUUGUCCCGAUGGCCGAAACAGGACUUCCUAUAUAUAAAUCUUUACCUCCGGACCAUUCCGGAACUCCUCGUGACGUCCGGGAUCUCAUCCGGGACUCCGAACAACAUUCGGUAACCACAUACAAACUUCCUUUAUAACCCUAGCGUCAUCGAACCUUAAGUGUGUAGACCCUACGGGUUCGGGAGACAUGUAGUCAUGACCGAGAUGUUCUCCGGUCAAUAACCAACAGCGGGAUCUGGAUACCCAUGUUGGCUCGCACAUGUUCCACGAUGAUCUCAUCGGAUGAACCACGAUGUCAAGGACUCAAUCAAUCCCGUAUACAAUUCCCUUUGUCUAGCGGUAUGGUACUUGCCCGAGAUUCGAUCGUCGGUAUACCGAUACCUUGUUCAAUCUCGUUACCGGCAAGCCUCUUUACUCGUUCCGUAACACAUCAUCCCGUGAUCAACCCCUUGGUCACAUUGUGCACAUUAUGAUGAUGUCCUACCGAGUGGGCCCAGAGAUACCUCUCCGUUUACACGGAGUGACAAAAUCCCAAUCUCGAUUCGUGCCAACCCAACAGACACUUUCAGAGAUACCCGUAGUGUACCUUUAUAGCCACCCAGUUACGUUGUGACGUUUGGCACACCCAAAGCACUCCUACGGUAUCCGGGAGUUGCACAAUCUCAUGGUCUAAGGAAAUGAUACUUGACAUUAGAAAAGCUUUAGCAUACGAACUACAUGAUCUUGUGCUAGGCUUAGNNNNNNNNNNUGAUCAACCCCUUGGUCACAUUGUGCACAUUAUGAUGAUGUCCUACCGAGUGGGCCCAGAGAUACCUCUCCGUUUACACGGAGUGACAAAAUCCCAAUCUCGAUUCGUGCCAACCCAACAGACAUUUUCAGAGAUACCCGUAGUGUACCUUUAUAGCCACCCAGUUACGUUGUGACGUUUGGCACACCCAAAGCACUCCUACGGUAUCCGGGAGUUGCACAAUCUCAUGGUCUAAGGAAAUGAUACUUGACAUUAGAAAAGCUUUAGCAUACGAACUACAUGAUCUUGUGCUAGGCUUAGGAUUGGGUCUUGUCCAUCACAUCAUUCUCCUAAUGAUGUGAUCCCGUUAUCAACGACAUCCAAUGUCCAUGGUCAGGAAACCGUAACCAUCUAUUGAUUAACGAGCUAGUCAACUAGAGGCUUACUAGGGACAUGGUGUUGUCUAUGUAUCCACACAUGUAUCUGAGUUUCCUAUCAAUACAAUUCUAGCAUGGAUAAUAAACGAUUAUCAUGAACAAGGAAAUAUAAUAAUAAUCAAUUUAUUAUUGCCUCUAGGGCAUAUUUCCAACAAGAAACGGGGAACAAACUGAUGAAAGAAUGAUCAUACCGAGGGAAUUCACUCAGAACUAACAAGAAUGAUAACGUGCUUUGACUGGAGCGGUUUAAAAACUGCUGGAAGGCUCUAGGGGAAUAAAGAUGGAAUGCCUUCAAAUUUCUAGGUCCGUAUGAUUUGAAAUACUUGCACACAAACCGCGCGAAAGCGUUCCUGGAAAUCUCAGCCCAAAAAAGGACGUUUAGUAAUUCUAAAAGGGACUACAGAAUGAAAAACAAUAGUUUUGGCAGUUAAAGUUUGAGAUUCGAUGGUGCCGUAGAUCCGUUUGGUCAUCAGGUGUAACGAGCCACACCCAUGUCUAGCUAGAGUAGUGUGCUAGGCUCAGGCUAGAGAAGAAACGGGGAACAAACUGAUGAAAGAAUGAUCAUACCGAGGGAAUUCACUCAGAACUAACAAGAAUGAUAACGUGCUCCGACUGGAGCGGUUUAGGAACUGCUGGAAGGCUCUAGGGGAAGAAAGAAGGAAUGACUUCUAAUUUUUAGGUCCGUAUGAUUUGAAAUACGUGCACACAAACCGCGCGAAAGCGUUCCUGGAAAUCUCAGCCCAAAAAAGGACGUUUAGUAUUCUAAAAGGGACUACAGAAUGAAAAACAAUAGUUUUGGCAGUUAAAGUUUGAGAUUCGACGGUGCCGUAGAUCCGUUUGGUCAUCAGGUGUUACGAGCCACACCCAUGUCUAGCUAGAAUAGUGUGCNNNNNNNNNNNNNNNNNNNNNNNNNCGUAUGAUUUGAAAUACGUGCACACAAACCGCGCGAAAGCGUUCCUGGAAAUCUCAGCCCAAAAAAGGACGUUUAGUAUUCUAAAAGGGACUACAGAAUGAAAAACAAUAGUUUUGGCAGUUAAAGUUUGAGAUUCGACGGUGCUGUAGAUCCGUUUGGUCAUCAGGUGUUACGAGCCACACCCAUGUCUAGCUAGAAUAGUGUGCUAGGCUCAGGCUAGAGAAGAAAAGGGGAACAAACUAAUGAAAGAAUGAUCAAUACGAGGGAAUUCACUCAGAACUAACAAUAAUGAUAACGUGCUCCGACUGGAGCGGUUUAGGAACUGCUGGAAGGCUCUAGGCGAAUAAAGAUGGAAUGACUUCUAAUUUUUACGUCCGUAUGAUUUGAAAUACUUGCACACAAACCACGCAAAAGCGUUCCUGGAAAUCUCGGCCUAAAAAGGACGUUUAGUAAUUCUAAAAGGGACUACAGGAUGAAAAAUAAUAGUUUGGGCAGUUAAAAUUUGAGAUUCGACGGUGCCGUAGAUCCGUUUGGUCAUCAGGUGUUACGAGCCACACCCAUGUCUAGCUAGAAUAGUGUGUUAGGCUCAGGCUAGAGAAGAAACGAGGAACAAACUGAUGAAAGAAUGAUCAUACCAAGGGAAUUCACUCAGAACUAACAAGAAUGAUAACGUGCUCCGACUGGAGCAGUUUAGAAACUGCUGGAAGGCUCUAGGGGAAUAAAGAUGGAAUGACUUCUGAUUUUUAGGUCCGUAUGAUUUGAAAUACGUGCACACAAACCCCGCGAAAGCGUUCCUGGAAAUCUCAGCCCAAAAAAGGACGUUUAGUAAUUCUAAAAGGGACUACAACAUGAAAAACAAUAGUUUUGGCAGUUAAAGUUUGAGAUUUCAUGGUGCCGUAGAUCUGUUUGGUCAUCAGGUGUUACGAGCCACACCCAUGUCUAGCUAGAAUAGUGUGUUAGGCUCAGGCUAGAAAAGAAACGGGAAACAAAGUGAUGAAAGAAUGACCAUACCGAGGGAAUUCACUCAGAACUAACAAGAAUGAUAACAUGCUCCGACUUGAGCGGUUUAGGAACUGCUGGAAGGCUCUAGGGGAAUAAAGAUGGAAUGACUUCUAAUGUUUAGGUCCGUAUGAUUUGAAAUACUUGCACAUAAACCGCACAAAAGCGUUCCUGGAAAUCUCAGCCCAAAAAAGGACGUUUAGUAAUUCUAAAAGGGACUACAGGAUGAAAAACAAUAGUUUUGGCAGUUAAAGUUUGAGAUUCGACGGUGCCGUAGAUCCGUUUGGUCAUCAGGUGUUACGAGCCACACCCAUGUCUAGCUAGAAUAGUGUGUUAGGCUCAGGCUAGAGAAGAAACUUGGAACAAACUGAUGAAAGAAUGAUCAAACCAACGGAAUUCACUCAGAACUAACAAUAAUGAUAACGUGCUCCGACUGGAGCAGUUUAGGAACUGCUGGAAGGCUCUAGGGGAAUAAAGAUGGAAUGACUUCUAAUUUUUAGGUCCGUAUGAUUUGAAAUACUUGCACGCAAACCGCGCGAAAGCGUUCCUGGAAAUAUCAGCCCAAAAAAGGACGUUUAGUAAUUCUAAAAGGGACUACAGGAUGAAAACAAUAGUUUUGGCAGUUAAAGUUUGAGAUUCAACAGUGCCGUAGAUCCGUUUGGUCAUCAGGUGUUAUGAGCCAUACCCAUGUCUAGCUAGAGUAGUGUGCUAGGCUCAGGCUAGAGAAGAAACAGGGAACAAACUGAUGAAAGAAUGAUCAUACCGAGGGAAUUCACUCAGAACUAACAAGAAUGAUAACGUGCUCCGACUGGAGCGGUUUAGGAACUGCUGGAAGGCUCUAGGGGAAUAAAGAUGGAGUGACUUCUAAAUUUUUAGGUCCGUAUGAUUUAAAAUACUUGCACACAAACCGCACGAAAGCGUUCCUUGAAAUCUCAGCCCAAAAAAGGACGUUUAGUAAGUCUAAAAGGGACUAUAGGAUGAAAAACAAUAGUUUUGGCAGUUAAAGUUUGAGAUUCGAUGGUGCCGUAGAUCUGUUUGGUCAUCAGGUGUUACGAGCCACACCCAUGUCUAGUUGGAAUAGUGUGCUAGGCUCAGACUAGAGAAGAAACAGGGAACAAACUGAUGAAAGAAUGAUCAAACCGAGGAAAUUCACUCAGAACUAACAAUAAUGAUAACAUGCUCCGACUGGAGCGGUUUAGGAACUGCUGGAAGGCUCUAGGGGAAUAAAGAUGGAAUGACUUCUAAAUUUUUAGGUCCGUAUGAUUUGAAAUAGUUGCACACAAACUGCGCGAAAGCGUUCCUGGAAAUCUCAGCCCAAAAAAGGACGUUUAGUAAUUCUAAAAGGGACUAUAGGAUGAAAAACAAUAGUUUUGGCAGUUAAAGUUUGAGAUUCGACGGUGCCGUAGAUCCGUUUGGUCAUCACGUGUUACAAGCCACACCCAUGUCUAGCUAGAGUAGUGUGCUAGGCUCAGACUAUAGAAGAAACGGGGACCAAACUGAUGAAAGAAUGAUCAAACCGAGGAAAUUCACUCAGAACUAACAAUAAUGAUAACAUGCUCCGACUGGAGCGGUUUAGGAACUACUGGAAGGCUCUAGGGGAAUAAAGAUGGAAUGACUUCUAAAUUUUUAGGUCCGUAUGAUUUUAAAUAGUUGCACACAAACUGCGCGAAAGCGUUCCUGGAAAUCUCAGCCCAAAAAAGGACGUUUAGUAAUUCUAAAAGGGACUACAGGAUGAAAAACAAUAGUUUGGGCAGUUAAAAUUUGAGAUUCGACGGUGCCGUAGAUCCGUUUGGUCAUCAGGUGUUACGAGCCACACCCAUGUCUAGCUAGAGUAGUGUGCUAGGCUCAGGCUAGAGAAGAAACAGGGAACAAACUGAUGAAAGAAUGAUCAUACCGAGGGAAUUCACUCAGAACUAACAAGAAUGAUAACGUGCUCUGACUGGAGCGGUUUAAGAACUGUUGGAAGGCUCUAGGGGAAUAAAGAUGGAAUCACUUCAAAUUUUUACGUCCGUGUGAUUUGAAAUACUUGCACACAAACCGCACGAAAGCGUUCCUGGAAAUCUCAGCCCAAAAAAGGACGUUUAGUAAGUCUAAAAGGGACUACACGAUGAAAAACAAUAGUUUUGGCAGUUAAAGUUUGAGAUUCGACAGUGCCGUAGAUCCGUUUGGUCAUCAGGUGUAACGAGCCACACCCAUGUCUAGAUAGAGUAGUGUGCUAGGCUCAAACUAGAGAAGAAACGGGGAACAAACUGAUGAAAGAAUGAUCAUACCGAGGGAAUUCACUCAGAAAUAACAAGAAUGAUAACGUGCUCUGACUGGAGCGGUUUAGGAACUGCUGGAAGGCUCUAGGGGAAUAAAGAAGGAAUGACUUCUAAUUUUUAGGUCCGUAUGAUUUGAAAUACGUGCACACAAACCCCGAGAAAGCGUUCCUGGAAAUCUCGACCCAAAAAAGGACGUUUAGUAAUUCUAAAAGGGACUACGGGAUGAAAAACAAUAGUUUUGGCAGUUAAAGUUUGAGAUUCGAUAAUGCCGUAGAUCCAUUUGGUCAUCAGGUGUAACGAGCCACACCCAUGUCUAGCUAGAGUAGUGUGCUAGGCUCAGACUAGAGAAGAAACAGGGAACAAACUGAUGAAAGAAUGAUCAUAUCGAGGGAAUUCACUCAGAACUAACAAGAAUGAUAACAUGCUCCGACUUGAGCGGUUUAGGAACUGCUGGAAGGCUCUAGGGGAAUAAAGAUGGAAUGACUUCUAAUUUUUAGGUCCGUAUGAUUUGAAAUACUUACACACAAACCACGCGAAAGCGUUCCUGGAAAUCUCAGCCCAAAAAAGGACGUUUAGUAAUUCUAAAAGGGACUACAUGAUGAAAAACAAUAGUUUUCGCAGUUAAAGUUUGAGAUUCGACGGUGCCGUAGAUCCGUUUGGUCAUCAAGUGUUACGAGCCACACCCAUGUCUAGCUAGAAUAGUGUGUUAGGCUCAGCCUAGAGAAGAAACGGGGAACAAACUGAUGAAAGAAUGAUCAUACCGAGGGAAUUCACUCAGAACUUACAAGAAUGAUAACGUGCUCCGACUUGAGCGGUUUAAGAACUGUUGGAAGGCUCUAGGGGAAUAAAGAUGGAAUCACUUCAAAUUUUUACGUCCGUGUGAUUUGAAAUACUUGCACACAAACCCCGAGAAAGCGUUCCUGGAAAUCUCGGCCGAAAAAAGGAUGUUUAAUAAUUCUAAAAGGGACUACAGGAUGAAAAACAAUAGCUUUGGCAGUUAAAGUUUGUGAUUCGAUGGUGCCGUAGAUCUGUUUGGUCAUCAGGUGUUAUGAGCCACACCCAUGUCUAGCUAGAAUAGUGUGUUAGGCUCAGGCUAGAGCAGAAACUAGGAACAAACUUAUGAAAGAAUGAUCAUACCGAGGGAAUUCACUCAGAACUAACAAGAAUGAUAACGUGCUCCGACUGGAGCGGUUUAGGAACUGCUGGAAGGCUCUAGGGGAAUAAAGAUGGAAUGACUUCUAAUUUUUAGGUCCGUAUGAUUUGAAAUACAUGCACACAAACCCCAAGAAAGCGUUCCUAGAAAUCUCAGCCCAAAAAGGACGUUUAGUAAUUCUAAAAGGGACUACAGGAUGAAAAACAAUAGGUUUGGCAGUUAAAGUUUGAGAUUCGAUAAUGCCGUAGAUCCGUUUGGUCAUCAGGUGUAACGAGCCACACCCAUGUCUAGCUACAUUAGUGUGCUAGGCUCAGACUAGAGAAGAAACGGGGAACAAACUGAUGAAAGAAUGAUCAUACCGAGGGAAUUCACUCAGAACUAACAAGAACGAUAACAUGCUCCGACUGCAGCGGUUUAGGAACUGCUGGAAGGCUCUAGGGGAAUAAAGAAGGAAUGACUUCUAAUUUUUAGGUCCGUAUGAUUUGAAAUACUUGCACACAAACCGCGCGAAAGCAUUCCUGGAAAUCUCAGCCCAAAAAAGGACGUUUAGUAAUUCUAAAAGGGACUACAGGAUGAAAAACAAUAAUUUUGGCAGUUAAAGUUUGAGAUUCGACGGUGCCGUAGAUCCGUUUGGUCAUCAGGUGUUACGGGCCAUACCCAUGUCUAGCUAGAAUAGUGUGUUAGGCUCAGGUUAGAGAAGAAACGGGGAACAAAGUGAUGAAAGAAUGAUCAUACCGAGGGAAUUCACUCAGAACUAACAAGAAUGAUAACGUGCUCCGACUGGAGCGGUUUAGGAAUUGCUGGAAGGCUCUAGGGGAAUAAAGAUGGAAUGACUUCUAUAUUUUACGUCCGUAUGAUUUGAAAUACUUGCACACAAACCACGCAAAAGCACUCCUGGAAAUAUCAGCCUAAAAAGGAUGUUUAGUAAUUCUAAAAGGGACUACAGGAUGAAAAAUAAUAGUUUUGGCAGUUAAAAUUUGAGAUUCAACGGUGCCGUAAAUCCGUUUGGUCAUCAGGUGUUACGAGCCACACCCAUGUCUAGCUAGAAUAGUGUGUUAGGCUCAGGUUAGAGAAGAAACGGGGAACAAACUGAUGAAAGAAU